CGGGGCGUGGCGCAGUGGUAGCGCACUGGCAUGGGGGGCCAGGGGUCCCGGGUUCAAGUCCCGGCGCCCCGACCA
RNAcentral lists this transfer RNA (75 nucleotides) under bacterium. RNAcentral describes it as "tRNA-Pro". It matches the Rfam family "tRNA". Rfam says of the family: Transfer RNA (tRNA) molecules are approximately 80 nucleotides in length. Their secondary structure includes four short double-helical elements and three loops (D, anti-codon, and T loops). Further hydrogen bonds mediate the characteristic L-shaped molecular structure. tRNAs have two regions of fundamental functional importance: the anti-codon, which is responsible for specific mRNA codon recognition, and the 3' end, to which the tRNAs corresponding amino acid is attached (by aminoacyl-tRNA synthetases). tRNAs cope with the degeneracy of the genetic code in two manners: having more than one tRNA (with a specific anti-codon) for a particular amino acid; and 'wobble' base-pairing, i.e. permitting non-standard base-pairing at the 3rd anti-codon position. The record is from RNAcentral. RNAcentral also lists the same sequence under 2 other names.